This 580-nucleotide ribosomal RNA is filed under the name Pseudozyma sp. LCF-09. RNAcentral's name for it is "eukaryotic LSU rRNA". It matches the Rfam family "Eukaryotic large subunit ribosomal RNA", at positions 89 to 650 of the family's 3401-position model. Lineage: Eukaryota; Fungi; Basidiomycota; Ustilaginomycetes; Ustilaginales; Ustilaginaceae. The record is from RNAcentral.
GCGAGUGAGAGGGAAGAGCCCAAGAUUGAAAGCUGGCGCCUUCGGCGUCCGCAUUGUAAUCUCAAGAAGUGUUUUCCGCUUCGGACCAUGCCUAAGUCCCUUGGAAAAGGGCAUCAUAGAGGGUGAUAAUCCCGUACAUGGCAUGGAGCGCCCGAAGCUUUGUGAUACGCUUUCUAAGAGUCGAGUUGUUUGGGAAUGCAGCUCAAAAUGGGUGGUAAAUGCCAUCUAAGGCUAAAUAUUGGGGAGAGACCGAUAGCGAACAAGUACAGUGAUGGAAAGAUGAAAAGAACUUUGAAAAGAGAGUUAAACAGUACGUGAAAUUGCCAAAAGGGAAGGGUAGGAGGUCAGAGAUGCGGCUUUGGAUUCAGCCUUGCUUUUGCAUGGUGUUUUUCCUUGGUUGCAGGCCAACGUCGGUUUUGGGCACUGGAGAAGGGUGAGAGGAACGUGGCAUCCCUCGGGAUGUGUUUAUAGCCUCUCACUGGAUACAGCGACCGAGACCGAGGACAGCAGCGUACUCGCAAGAGCGGGCCUUCGGGCACCUUUACGCUUAGGGCGUUGGCAUAAUGGCCCUCUACCACCC